GUGAGGAAUAUUGGUCAAUGGGCGCAAGCCUGAACCAGCCAUCCCGCGUGAAGGAAGAAGGCCCUACGGGUUGUAAACUUCUUUUCUGUUUGAAGAAUAAGCUUGUCGAGACAAGUGAUGCCGGUAGGACAGGAAUAAGCAUCGGCUAACUCCGUGCCAGCAGCCGCGGUAAUACGGAGGAUGCAAGCGUUAUCCGGAUUGAUUGGGUUUAAAGGGUGCGCAGGUGGUUGAAUAAGUCAGUGGUGAAAGUCUGGCGCUUAACGUUAGGAUUGCCAUUGAUACUGUUUGACUUGAAUAUGGAUGAGGUAGGCGGAAUGUGUAGUGUAGCGGUGAAAUGCUUAGAUAUUACACAGAACACCGAUUGCGAAGGCAGCUUACUAAUCCAUUAUUGACGCUGAGGCACGAAAGCGUGGGGAUCAAACAGGAUUAGAUACCCGGGUAGUCC
RNAcentral lists this ribosomal RNA (445 nucleotides) under uncultured bacterium. Its description in RNAcentral is "partial 16S ribosomal RNA". It matches the Rfam family "Bacterial small subunit ribosomal RNA", at positions 354 to 796 of the family's 1533-position model. The record is from RNAcentral.